AAGGCUUUAGCUUAAUUAAAGUGUCUGAUUGUGCAUUACAGAAGAUGUGGGAUAGAGUCCCGCAAGUCUUA
Myxocyprinus asiaticus (Chinese sucker) is the source of this 71-nucleotide non-coding RNA. Lineage: Eukaryota; Metazoa; Chordata; Actinopteri; Cypriniformes; Catostomidae. The record is from the annotation of a RefSeq genome assembly.